GAUGAACGCUGGCGGCGUGCUUAACACAUGCAAGUCGAACGAAGCACUUUUACAGAUUUCUUCGGAAUGAAGUUUUAGUGACUGAGUGGCGGACGGGUGAGUAACGCGUGGGUAACCUGCCUCACACAGGGGGAUAACAGUUGGAAACGGCUGCUAAUACCGCAUAAGCGCACAGUACUGCAUGGUACGGUGUGAAAAACUCCGGUGGUGUGAGAUGGACCCGCGUCUGAUUAGCUAGUUGGCAGGGCAACGGCCUACCAAGGCGACGAUCAGUAGCCGACCUGAGAGGGUGACCGGCCACAUUGGGACUGAGACACGGCCCAAACUCCUACGGGAGGCAGCAGUGGGGAAUAUUGCACAAUGGGGGAAACCCUGAUGCAGCGACGCCGCGUGAGCGAAGAAGUAUUUCGGUAUGUAAAGCUCUAUCAGCAGGGAAGAAGAGAUGACGGUACCUGACUAAGAAGCACCGGCUAAAUACGUGCCAGCAGCCGCCGUAA
This 497-nucleotide ribosomal RNA is filed under the name uncultured bacterium. RNAcentral's name for it is "partial 16S ribosomal RNA". It matches the Rfam family "Bacterial small subunit ribosomal RNA", at positions 28 to 523 of the family's 1533-position model. The record is from RNAcentral.